This 498-nucleotide unclassified non-coding RNA is filed under the name uncultured Glomus. RNAcentral's name for it is "SSU rRNA". It matches the Rfam family "Eukaryotic small subunit ribosomal RNA", at positions 591 to 1092 of the family's 1831-position model. The record is from RNAcentral. Lineage: Eukaryota; Fungi; Glomeromycota; Glomeromycetes; Glomerales; Glomeraceae.
CCAAUAGCGUAUAUUAAAGUUGUUGCAGUUAAAAAGCUCGUAGUUGAAUUUCGGGAUCAGUACGUUGGUCAUGCCUUGGUAUGUACUGGUGUAACUGAUUCCUCCCUUCUGACGAACCGUCAUGCCAUUCACUUGGUGUGGCGGGAAAUCAGGACUGUUACUUUGAAAAAAUUAGAGUGUUUAAAGCAGGCUCGCGCUUGAAUUCAUUAGCAUGGAAUAAUGAAAUAGGACGUUAAUCCUAUUUUGUUGUGUUCUAGGAGCGACGUAAUGAUUAAUAGGGAUAGUUGGGGUCAUUAGUAUUCAAUUGUCAGAGGUGAAAUUCUUGGAUUUAUUGAAGACUAACUACUGCGAAAGCAUUUGCCAAGGAUGUUUUCAUUAAUCAAGAACGAAAGUUAGGGGAUCGAAGACGAUCAGAUACCGUCGUAGUCUUAACCAUAAACUAUGCCGACUAGGGAUCGGAUGAUGUUAAUUUUUUAAUGACUCAUUCGGCGCCUUACG